This is a long non-coding RNA of Papaver somniferum (opium poppy), 541 nucleotides long. RefSeq lists it as uncharacterized. Lineage: Eukaryota; Viridiplantae; Streptophyta; Magnoliopsida; Ranunculales; Papaveraceae. The record is from RefSeq and is a predicted model, not a curated record. The transcript is spliced from 2 exons.
CUUAGCCCGAGAUAAACCUCUCUGAGACCCUGAAGAAUUCCUCAUUUCGCUCGUCGAAGAGUUUGGGAAGAAAAAGUUGCAGAGAUGGGUGGAGAUGCAGGAUCUAAAGUUCUUCGAUUAUUCUCAUUGGGCGAUGGAGUUAUCUGUACAUCUGCAAUUAAUCUUUAUCGUGAUAUUGAGAGGAAAAAGUUAACACAGAAACAGAUUGCUGAGGAAAUUGUUGAAAAGGGGAAUAUGGUAAACAAAGCUACUGCCGAGUAAACAGAUUAGGGUUGUAGGGUUUCUAUUUUAAAUGGAAGUAGUAAUUUGUUGCUGUGGUGGUUUGCUUUUGGUAUAAUAUGUACUGAGAAAUAAGGGGUUUUGAUCAAUCUUUUCUGUCAUUAGAUUUUGGGUAUGAUGUUUACUGUUUACAUUAAGAAUUUCCAUAACCUCAAAUGAACACCAAUUAACACCAAAAUUAGCUUAUGUUAACACCAAUUAUGUAAAUUGGGUAUGAUGUUUACUGUUUACAUUAUGUAAAUUAGCUUGGAAAUUUUCAUAA